This 811-nucleotide long non-coding RNA is filed under the name Apteryx rowi (Okarito brown kiwi). Its description in RNAcentral is "lncRNA (ENSARWG00000003023.1)". Lineage: Eukaryota; Metazoa; Chordata; Aves; Apterygiformes; Apterygidae. The record is from RNAcentral.
AAUUGACUGUAUUGCUAAUAUUGUUCCCCCAUGUCCCACUGCCAUUUCCUCUCCUUCCCCCUGUUUAGUAGAGUGCCCCAAGUGUGGCUAUACAUACUUGAAAAACGGGACCCUUUCAGUGUUGAAGCACUCUUAAAAGGAUAGGGAAAGCUGGCAUAGAUGGCCAACUGGGAUCUCUUCUACCCCCUACUCCAGAAGGAAAAAUCCAAAAGCUGGAAGGUGCCUAGCUUUAAAUUUCCCAUUUCAUGAGCAUCAUGUAGUCUCAUAACUACAUGGUAAUGCUUGUUUCCCCAGAAGAUGCUGAGAGCAAGCAGACCUACCACCAGGCAUGGUUUGACCAAACCUAGAGCUGAGCCCUUAGUGUGACUGGAUUUUCCCCUUGUACAACUUGAUUGUAAUGUUUACUGAUCUGUUAUUAACAGCAUCUGUUUUGGAGCCCUGCAAAGCAUCAACUGAGCAUAACUGAAGACUGGUGUAUAGGGAGAACUUGUGGUGCUUCCUGUCAAAGACCUGAGACUCUUGAGGAGGUUGACCUCAGAAUACAGCACGCCAGCUGGUUUGCCCUUUGCUUGUAGUUAAACAUGAAUCAAACCAUAUCAGUGAGUCUACAUGUCCGAUAGCUACACCACCAUUUCGGGACAGGCCCAGGAACAAACUCAAUACCACAUCAGUGAUGACAGCUGUCAUUGUUAGAAAUAAGCUCUGGAGCAAUGAUAAUUCCUGCUGUAAUUCCAAGAUGCCAACAUUAGAGGGUUUGACGCUUGCAAGACGCACUGGCCACACUUUGGAGGAGAGCAGCUAUAAAGCAGAG